This 253-nucleotide ribosomal RNA is filed under the name uncultured bacterium. RNAcentral's name for it is "partial 16S ribosomal RNA". It matches the Rfam family "Bacterial small subunit ribosomal RNA", at positions 524 to 776 of the family's 1533-position model. The record is from RNAcentral.
GACGAACCGUGCGAACGUUGUUCGGAAUCACUGGGCUUAAAGGGCGCGUAGGCGGGCAUUCAAGUCAGGGGUGAAAUCCUCCAGCUUAACUGGAGAACUGCCUUUGAUACUGGGUGCCUCGAGUGAGGUAGGGGCGUGCGGAACUGAUGGUGGAGCGGUGAAAUGUGUUGAUAUCAUCAAGAACUCCGGUGGCGAAAGCGGCGCGCUGGACCUUAACUGACGCUGAGGCGCGAAAGCCAGGGGAGCAAACGGG